GGUCCUACGGGAGCAGCAGUGGGGGAUAUUGCACAAUGGGGGGAACCCUGAUGCAGCGACGCCGCGUGGGUGAAGAAGCGCCUCGGCGCGUAAAGCCCUGUCAGCAGGGAAGAAAAUGACGGUACCUGAGGAGGAAGCCACGGCUAACUACGUGCCAGCAGCCGCGGUAAUACGUAGGUGGCGAGCGUUGUCCGGAUUUACUGGGCGUAAAGGGAGCGUAGGCGGACUUUUAAGUGAGAUGUGAAAUACUCGGGCUCAACUUGAGUGCUGCAUUUCAAACUGGAAGUCUAGAGUGCAGGAGAGGG
This 305-nucleotide ribosomal RNA is filed under the name uncultured bacterium. Its description in RNAcentral is "bacterial SSU rRNA". It matches the Rfam family "Bacterial small subunit ribosomal RNA", at positions 335 to 658 of the family's 1533-position model. The record is from RNAcentral.